ACGCUGGCGGCAUGCCUUACACAUGCAAGUCGAACGGCAGCACGGAGCUUGCUCUGGUGGCGAGUGGCGAACGGGUGAGUAAUAUAUCGGAACGUACCCUAGAGUGGGGGAUAACGUAGCGAAAGUUACGCUAAUACCGCAUACGAUCUAAGGAUGAAAGUGGGGGAUCGCAAGACCUCAUGCUCGUGGAGCGGCCGAUAUCUGAUUAGCUAGUUGGUAGGGUAAAAGCCUACCAAGGCAUCGAUCAGUAGCUGGUCUGAGAGGACGACCAGCCACACUGGAACUGAGACACGGUCCAGACUCCUACGGGAGGCAGCAGUGGGGAAUUUUGGACAACGGGCGAAAGCCUGAUCCAGCAAUGCCGCGUGAGUGAAGAAGGCCUUCGGGUUGUAAAGCUCUUUUGUCAGGGAAGAAACGGUGAGAGCUAAUAUCUCUUGCUAAUGACGGUACCUGAAGAAUAAGCACCGGCUAACUACGUGCCAGCAGCCGCGGUAAUACGUAGGGUGCAAGCGUUAAUCGGAAUUACUGGGCGUAAAGCGUGCGCAGGCGGUUUUGUAAGUCUGAUGUGAAAUCCCCGGGCUCAACCUGGGAAUUGCAUUGGAGACUGCAAGGCUAGAAUCUGGCAGAGGGGGGUAGAAUUCCACGUGUAGCAGUGAAAUGCGUAGAUAUGUGGAGGAACACCGAUGGCGAAGGCAGCCCCCUGGGUCAAGAUUGACACUCAUGCACGAAAGCGUGGGGAGCAAAC
RNAcentral lists this ribosomal RNA (745 nucleotides) under uncultured bacterium. Its description in RNAcentral is "bacterial SSU rRNA". It matches the Rfam family "Bacterial small subunit ribosomal RNA", at positions 33 to 773 of the family's 1533-position model. The record is from RNAcentral.